CACUCCUUAUAAUGCCACCCACUUUAAGCCUCUUUUAAGGGAUAUCUAGCAGUUUAAGAAAUCAAUUUGGGCAUUCAAAGUUAAUCAUAUCUUCAGUGAAAAAGCAAUCAAUAGCAGAUUGGUUAGCUCCAGCUCCUCUUUAGUCCAAUCUGGUAGUCCUCAGCUUGUUUGCAAUUUAACAAUUAAUCUUUGGCUAUCU
RNAcentral lists this long non-coding RNA (199 nucleotides) under Elaeis guineensis (African oil palm). Its description in RNAcentral is "long non-coding RNA (EGUI_LNC029289)". The record is from RNAcentral. Lineage: Eukaryota; Viridiplantae; Streptophyta; Magnoliopsida; Arecales; Arecaceae.